Engraulis encrasicolus (European anchovy) is the source of this 310-nucleotide long non-coding RNA. RefSeq lists it as uncharacterized. The transcript has 3 exons. The record is from RefSeq and is a predicted model, not a curated record. NCBI's taxonomy places the organism in Eukaryota, Metazoa, Chordata, Actinopteri, Clupeiformes, Engraulidae.
GCAGGGGGUCUCGUGCUCUGGAGAAAAGGCAGCGGCUGGAGAUACUCCAGGAAUGCCAGUCUGAGUAGGCCUAUGUUGCUGCAGAGGAAAGAGAUGGCUUCACUGCUGACGGGGUCCCAUCAAUUGAUGUGUCAAGAAGAAGUUGCAGAGCCUUGGUCAAACCAGAGGUUGCCAGGAUGUCAAACCCUGGGUGGGAAGUAUAAUAAACCAUCUGUACUGGGCUGUGGUCUCGACGCCUCCUGGCAAUGUUCAACUUGUGGUGGACAAAUGGACGUCAGUUAUGGAUCACAUCCACAACAGGCAUACCGGA